This 204-nucleotide ribosomal RNA is filed under the name uncultured Enterobacterales bacterium. RNAcentral describes it as "partial 16S ribosomal RNA". It matches the Rfam family "Bacterial small subunit ribosomal RNA", at positions 297 to 493 of the family's 1533-position model. Lineage: Bacteria; Pseudomonadati; Pseudomonadota; Gammaproteobacteria; Enterobacterales. The record is from RNAcentral.
AGGAUGACCAGCCACACUGGAACUGAGACACGGUCCAGACUCCUACGGGAGGCAGCAGUGGGGAAUAUUGCACAAUGGGCGCAAGCCUGAUGCAGCCAUGCCGCGUGUAUGAAGAAGGCCUUCGGGUUGUAAAGUACUGUCAGAGGGGAGGAAGGGAGUAAAGUUAAUACCUUUGCUCAUUGACGUUACCCGCAGAAGAAGCAC